Molecule: transfer RNA, 67 nt
Filed under: Oxyrrhis marina
Lineage: Eukaryota; Dinophyceae; Oxyrrhinales; Oxyrrhinaceae
Source: RNAcentral
GGGAAAUGGCCUAACGGUCAGAGUACCUGCCCCUGAAACAUAAGGUCCCGGGUUCGAUUCUUGGUAG